This 440-nucleotide ribosomal RNA is filed under the name uncultured bacterium. RNAcentral's name for it is "partial 16S ribosomal RNA". It matches the Rfam family "Bacterial small subunit ribosomal RNA", at positions 338 to 795 of the family's 1533-position model. The record is from RNAcentral.
CCUACGGGAGGCAGCAGUAGGGAAUAUUGCUCAAUGGGGGAAACCCUGAAGCAGCAACGCCGCGUGGAGGAUGAAGGUUUUCGGAUUGUAAACUCCUUUUGUUAGAGAAGAUAAUGACGGUAUCUAACGAAUAAGCACCGGCUAACUCAGUGCCAGCAGCCGCGGUAAUACGGAGGGUGCAAGCGUUACUCGGAAUCACUGGGCGUAAAGAGAGCGUAGGCGGGAUAGCAAGUCAGAUGUGAAAUCCUAUGGCUUAACCAUAGAACUGCAUUUGAAAAUGUUAUUCUAGAGUAUGGGAGAGGUAGGUGGAAUUCUUGGUGUAGGGGUAAAAUCCGUAGAGAUCAAGAGGAAUACUCAUUGCGAAGGCGACCUGCUAGAACAUAACUGACGCUGAUGCGCGAAAGCGUGGGGAGCAAACAGGAUUAGAUACCCCAGUAGUC